ACGGCUCAGUAACACGUAGCUAAUCUACCCUUAAGUCAAGGAUAACCUCGGGAAACUGAGGAUAAUACUUGAUAGGAGACAUACCCUGGAAAGAUUUGUCUUUCAAAUUCGAGCUUAAGGACGAGGCUGCGGCGGAUUAGGUGGUUGGCGGGGUAAAGGCCCACCAAGCCGAUGAUCCGUAAGGGCUCUUAGCGGAGAGGCCCUGAGAGGGAAUCUGAGACACUAUUCCCAGCCCUACGGGGUGCAGCAGGUAAGAAUCUUUUGCAAUGCGCGCAAGCGUGACAAAGCGAGCCAGAGUGCUUUUCAAUUGAAAAGCUUUUGCUAAAUUUAAAAAUUUUGGCGAAUAAGGACUGGGUAAGACUAGUGCCAGCCGCCGCGGUAAUCCUAGCGGUCCAAGUCGCAGCCAUCAUUAUUGGGUCUAAAACAUCCGUAGCUUGUUUAAUAAGUUCCUUGUGAAAUCUUGUCUCUUAAGGGCAAGGCGUGCAAGGAGUACUGUUAGGCUAGAGACUGGAAGACGUAAGAAGUAUGUUCAAAGUAGCGGUAAAAUGUGUUAAUCUUGAGCAGACUCACAACAGCGAAGGCAUCUUACGAGGACAGUUCUGACAGUAAAGGAUGAAGGCUAGGGGCGCGAAGUGGAUUAGAUACCCAUGUAGUCCUAGCAGUAAACACUGCGCACUAAACAUUAGUACCUCCUCGAGAGGUAUUGGUGCUGGAGAGAAGUCGAAGAGUGCGCUACCUGGGAAGUAUAGCCGCAAGGCCGAAACUUAAAGGAAUUGGCGGGGGAGCAC
Molecule: ribosomal RNA, 788 nt
Filed under: uncultured archaeon
Lineage: Archaea
Description: bacterial SSU rRNA
Rfam family: Archaeal small subunit ribosomal RNA
Source: RNAcentral